AGUGAACGCUGGCGGUAGGCCCAACACAUGCAAGUCGAACGGCAGCACAGUAAGAGCUUGCUCUUACGGGUGGCGAGUGGCGGACGGGUGAGGAAUACAUCGGAAUCUACUUUUUCGUGGGGGAUAACGUAGGGAAUCUUACGCUAAUACCGCAUACGACCUACGGGUGAAAGCAGGGGAUCUUCGGACCUUGCGCGAUUGAAUGAGCCGAUGUCGGAUUAGCUAGUUGGCGGGGUAAAGGCCCACCAAGGCGACGAUCCGUAGCUGGUCUGAGAGGAUGAUCAGCCACACUGGAACUGAGACACGGUCCAGACUCCUACGGGAGGCAGCAGUGGGGAAUAUUGGACAAUGGGCGCAAGCCUGAUCCAGCCAUACCGCGUGGGUGAAGAAGGCCUUCGGGUUGUAAAGCCCUUUUGUUGGGAAAGAAAAGCAGCAGGUUAAUACCCCGCUGUUCUGACGGUACCCAAAGAAUAAGCACCGGCUAACUUCGUG
RNAcentral lists this ribosomal RNA (492 nucleotides) under uncultured bacterium. Its description in RNAcentral is "partial 16S ribosomal RNA". It matches the Rfam family "Bacterial small subunit ribosomal RNA", at positions 29 to 507 of the family's 1533-position model. The record is from RNAcentral.